RNAcentral lists this small nuclear RNA (164 nucleotides) under Pavo cristatus (Indian peafowl). RNAcentral describes it as "U1 spliceosomal RNA (ENSPSTG00000019139.1)". It matches the Rfam family "U1 spliceosomal RNA". From Rfam's summary of the family: U1 is a small nuclear RNA (snRNA) component of the spliceosome (involved in pre-mRNA splicing). The record is from Rfam by way of RNAcentral. Lineage: Eukaryota; Metazoa; Chordata; Aves; Galliformes; Phasianidae.
GUUCUUACCUGUCAGGGGAGACACCUUGAUCAGGCAGGUGGCUUUCCUGGGGCGAGGAUCAUCCCCUGCACUCCAGGUGUGUUGACCCCUGCAAUUUUCCUAAAUGUGGGAAACUUGACUGCAUAAUAUGUGGUAGUGAGGGGCUGCAUUCGCACUCUUCUUAA